This 829-nucleotide non-coding RNA is filed under the name Lipotactes tripyrga. The record is from RNAcentral. Lineage: Eukaryota; Metazoa; Arthropoda; Insecta; Orthoptera; Tettigoniidae.
AGUUUUAUUCUUGCUUAAGUAUUUAUUUUUUGAAUAAUUUACAUGUAGAUUUUUGUAUGUAUAGAAAUAAUUUAAAUAAUAUAUUAUAUUUAUUCGCAGUAUUUGAUAUUAAUCAUUAGAGAGAUUUAGAAUUAGUAAUUUAAUAAAAAUUAGCCAAAGGCGUGCCAGCAGCUGCGGUUAUACGUGAAAUUUAAGUAAAUAUUAUUAGUUAAAAGUUGAUUUUGAUUUAGAUAAUUAAAUAGUUAUUUUGGAAGGUGAAAUUUUAAAGUUAGGAUUAUAAUUAAAUUAUUAUAAUGAAGCUUUGAUAAUUGAAAUAUAAACUAGGAUUAGAUACCCUAUUAUUUUAAUUGUAAAUGUUAAUUCUAGGGUAGUAGUAGGUAAGGACUUGAAACCCAAAGGAUUUGGCGGUACUUUAAUUCUUAUUAGAGGAAUCUGUCCUAUAAUCGAUAAUACACGUUAAAGUUAACUUAAUUUAGUUUAAUUCAGUAUGUAUACCGCCGUCAUCAGAUUAUCUUAAAAGGGAAAAAUUUUCUGGAACUGAAAAAGAAGCAUAGAGAGGAGGAAAUAUAAUAAAUAUUUAGUUAUAGGAAAAUAUGUCAGGUCAAGGUGCAGCUAAUAAUUAAGAAGGAGAUGGAUUACAAUAAAAUUAUUUAAACGGAUUGAUUUUUGGGAUAUAUUAAAAUAAUGAAGGUGAAUUUAAAUGUAAUGGUGUUAUAGUAUAGCAGUAUGAUGAUAGCUCUGAAGUAUGUACAUAUCGCCCGUCACUCUCAUUCAUAAGAUGAGAUAAGUCGUAACAAAGUAGAUGUACUGGAAAGUGUAUCUAGAAAGU